GGAAUAUUGGACAAUGGGCGCAAGCCUGAUCCAGCCAUGCCGCGUGAGUGAUGAAGGCUUUAGGGUUGUAAAGCUCUUUCGUUGGUGAAGAUAAUGACGGUAACCAAAGAAGAAGCCCCGGCUAACUUCGUGCCAGCAGCCGCGGUAAUACGAAGGGGGCUAGCGUUGUUCGGAAUUACUGGGCGUAAAGCGCGCGUAGGCUGUGCGACAAGUCAGGGGUGAAAUCCCAGAGCUUAACUCUGGAACUGCCUUUGAAACUGUCGUGCUGGAAUCUCAGAGGGGAUAGCGGAAUUCCAAAUGUAGGGGUGAAAUCCGUAGAUAUUUGGAGGAACACCGGUGGCGAAGGCGGCUAUCUGGAUGAGUAUUGACGCUGAGGCGCGAAAGCGUGGGGAUCAAAC
This 398-nucleotide ribosomal RNA is filed under the name uncultured bacterium. RNAcentral's name for it is "bacterial SSU rRNA". It matches the Rfam family "Bacterial small subunit ribosomal RNA", at positions 358 to 773 of the family's 1533-position model. The record is from RNAcentral.